ACGCUGGCGGCAGGCCUAACACAUGCAAGUCGAGCGGCAGCACGGGUACUUGUACCUGGUGGCGAGCGGCGGACGGGUGAGUAAUGCCUAGGAAUCUGCCUGGUAGUGGGGGAUAACGCUCGGAAACGGACGCUAAUACCGCAUACGUCCUACGGGAGAAAGCAGGGGACCUUCGGGCCUUGCGCUAUCAGAUGAGCCUAGGUCGGAUUAGCUAGUUGGUGAGGUAAUGGCUCACCAAGGCGACGAUCCGUAACUGGUCUGAGAGGAUGAUCAGUCACACUGGAACUGAGACACGGUCCAGACUCCUACGGGAGGCAGCAGUGGGGAAUAUUGGACAAUGGGCGAAAGCCUGAUCCAGCCAUGCCGCGUGUGUGAAGAAGGUCUUCGGAUUGUAAAGCACUUUAAGUUGGGAGGAAGGGCAGUUACCUAAUACGUAUCUGUUUUGACGUUACCGACAGAAUAAGCACCGGCUAACUCUGUGCCAGCAGCCGCGGUAAUACAGAGGGUGCAAGCGUUAAUCGGAAUUACUGGGCGUAAAGCGCGCGUAGGUGGUUUGUUAAGUUGGAUGUGAAAUCCCCGGGCUCAACCUGGGAACUGCAUUCAAAACUGACAAACUAGAGUAUGGUAGAGGGUGGUGGAAUUUCCUGUGUAGCGGUGAAAUGCGUAGAUAUAGGAAGGAACACCAGUGGCGAAGGCGACCACCUGGACUGAUACUGACACUGAGGUGCGAAAGCGUGGGGAGCAAAC
This 747-nucleotide ribosomal RNA is filed under the name uncultured bacterium. Its description in RNAcentral is "bacterial SSU rRNA". It matches the Rfam family "Bacterial small subunit ribosomal RNA", at positions 33 to 773 of the family's 1533-position model. The record is from RNAcentral.